This 189-nucleotide non-coding RNA is filed under the name Clostridiales bacterium. RNAcentral's name for it is "6S RNA". It matches the Rfam family "6S / SsrS RNA". From Rfam's summary of the family: E. coli 6S RNA was the first non coding RNA to be sequenced, but its function was unknown until recently. It consists of 184 nucleotides that fold into an extended hairpin structure with a large single-stranded internal bulge. The record is from RNAcentral. Lineage: Bacteria; Bacillati; Bacillota; Clostridia; Eubacteriales. RNAcentral also lists the same sequence under 1 other name.
AUACUCCUGAGGUGCUCGUCAGCCGUCCGUUUUUACCCACAUUUCACAUUACGGAGCCUGCGUCAAGGAACGGCUGUCAAGCCCCCGUGCUCCUAAAGCAUGAUGGGGACGGCAAAAGUCUUUUGCAGGGCACCGACCUGCUUUACAGAGCGGGUGAAAAAAUGGAUGGCAACGACACUUUGGGGUAUU